GUACGUAGGGGGCUAGCGUUGUCCGGAUUAUUGGGCGUAAAGAGCUCGUAGGCGGUUUGGUAAGUUGGAUGUGAAAUCUCCAGGCUCAACUUGGAGGGGUCAUUCGAUACUGCCAUGACUAGAGUUCGGUAGGGGAGUGUGGGAAUUCCUGGUGGAGCGGUGAAAUGCGCAGGAUGUCAGGAGGAACACCCGUAGCGAAGGCGGCACUCUGGGCCGGGAACUGACGCUGAGGAGCGGAAAGCGUGGGGAGCGAACAGG
This 258-nucleotide ribosomal RNA is filed under the name uncultured bacterium. RNAcentral describes it as "partial 16S ribosomal RNA". It matches the Rfam family "Bacterial small subunit ribosomal RNA", at positions 523 to 776 of the family's 1533-position model. The record is from RNAcentral.